UAUUUUAGUCUUGUUAGAGGAACCUGUUUUAUAAUCGAUAAACCACGAAUAUCUCACUUAUUUUAAAUAGUUUGUAUACCGUCAUUAUUAGAUAACUUUCAAAAAAUUAGUUAUUAAAAUUAAAUAAAAUUAAAUAUAUUAGAUCAAGGUGCAGUUAAUAAAUAAGAAAAAAUGGGUUACAAUAAAAUUUAUUUAAAACGAAUUAUAUAAAUGUAAAAAUAUAUGAAGGAGGAUUUAAUUGUAAUUUUUUUAUAAGAUAAUAAUAUGAUAAUAGCUCUAAAAUAU
Molecule: ribosomal RNA, 285 nt
Filed under: Aegla serrana
Lineage: Eukaryota; Metazoa; Arthropoda; Malacostraca; Decapoda; Aeglidae
Description: partial 12S small subunit ribosomal RNA
Source: RNAcentral